UACAGAGGGUGCGAGCGUUAAUCGGAAUUACUGGGCGUACAGCGCGCGCAGGCGGUUGCUGACGUGCCGUGUGACAAGCGGGGGCUCAACCCCCGAGGGCCACGGUAAACGGGGCGACUGGAGGUAGGGAGAGGGAUGUGGAAUGCCCGGUGGAGCGGUGAAAUGCGUAGAUAUCAGGAGGAAUACCGAUGGCGAAGGCAGGUCUCUGGGCUGACACUGACGCUCAUGCACGAAAGGCGUGGG
This 243-nucleotide ribosomal RNA is filed under the name uncultured bacterium. Its description in RNAcentral is "partial 16S ribosomal RNA". It matches the Rfam family "Bacterial small subunit ribosomal RNA", at positions 524 to 766 of the family's 1533-position model. The record is from RNAcentral.